GGAGAGAUAGCUCAGUGGAUAAGAGCACUUGACUGCUCUUUAAAAGGACCCUGGUUCAAUUCCGGGCACCA
This 71-nucleotide transfer RNA is filed under the name Mus musculus (house mouse). It matches the Rfam family "tRNA". Rfam says of the family: Transfer RNA (tRNA) molecules are approximately 80 nucleotides in length. Their secondary structure includes four short double-helical elements and three loops (D, anti-codon, and T loops). Further hydrogen bonds mediate the characteristic L-shaped molecular structure. tRNAs have two regions of fundamental functional importance: the anti-codon, which is responsible for specific mRNA codon recognition, and the 3' end, to which the tRNAs corresponding amino acid is attached (by aminoacyl-tRNA synthetases). tRNAs cope with the degeneracy of the genetic code in two manners: having more than one tRNA (with a specific anti-codon) for a particular amino acid; and 'wobble' base-pairing, i.e. permitting non-standard base-pairing at the 3rd anti-codon position. Lineage: Eukaryota; Metazoa; Chordata; Mammalia; Rodentia; Muridae. The record is from Rfam by way of RNAcentral.